Molecule: transfer-messenger RNA, 208 nt
Filed under: Azospirillum baldaniorum
Lineage: Bacteria; Pseudomonadati; Pseudomonadota; Alphaproteobacteria; Rhodospirillales; Azospirillaceae
Description: Azospirillum brasilense Sp245 transfer-messenger RNA Azosp_brasi_Sp245
Rfam family: Alphaproteobacteria transfer-messenger RNA
About the family: Bacterial tmRNA, also known as 10Sa RNA or SsrA, is named for its dual tRNA and mRNA-like properties.
Source: RNAcentral
GGGGGCGAAAUAGGAUCGACACGCGUGGUAAAGGCAUGGUCUUCGCCCGGCAUGGUUCCGCCGUUAUCGGGCCAUUGCAAUAGUUGCCAACGACAACGUUGCUCCGGUCGCCGUUGCCGCCUAACGGCGGUGACUGACCGAAAUCAAUCCCCGAUGGGUAGCACCUGAGGGUGGGGCCGUGGGCCGCCUAGCAACAGAAGGCCCACAC